UACGUAGGGUGCGAGCGUUAAUCGGAAUUACUGGGCGUAAAGCGUGCGCAGGCGGUUCGUUGUGUCGGCGGUGAAAGCCCCGGGCUCAACCUGGGAAUGGCCGUUGAAACUGGCGAACUGGAGUGUGGCAGAGGGGGGUGGAAUUCCGCGUGUAGCAGUGAAAUGCGUAGAGAUGCGGAGGAACACCGAUGGCGAAGGCAGCCCCCUGGGAUGACACUGACGCUCAGGCACGAAAGCGUGGGGAGCAAACAGG
Molecule: ribosomal RNA, 253 nt
Filed under: uncultured bacterium
Lineage: Bacteria
Description: partial 16S ribosomal RNA
Rfam family: Bacterial small subunit ribosomal RNA
Source: RNAcentral